RNAcentral lists this ribosomal RNA (911 nucleotides) under uncultured archaeon. Its description in RNAcentral is "bacterial SSU rRNA". It matches the Rfam family "Archaeal small subunit ribosomal RNA", at positions 1 to 884 of the family's 1478-position model. The record is from RNAcentral.
UUUUCCCGGUUGAUCCCGCCGGACCCUACUGCUAUCGGGGUGGGACUAAGACAUGCAAGUUGUGCGUCUCUAAGCCAUGGUAGAGACGCGGCAUACGGCUCAGUAACACGUGGCUAACCUACCCUUUAGGACGGGGACAACCCCGGGAAACUGGGGCUAAUAUCCGAUAGGUGAGGAGGCCUGGAAUGGUUCCUAGUCGAAAAGGCGUUGAAACCAUGCUUUUCGACGUCGCCUAAGGAUGGGGCCGCGCCCGAUCAGGUUGUUGGUGGGGCAACGGCUCACCAAGCCUAUAACCGGUACGGGCCGUGAGAGCGGGAGCCCGGAGAUGGGCACUGAGACAAGGGCCCAGGCCCUACGGGGCGCAGCAGUCGCGAAAACUCCGCAAUGCGCGAAGGCGUGACGGGGCUACCCCGAGUGCCGUCCGCUGAGGAUGGCUUUUCCCCGGUGUAAUGAGCCGGGGGAAUAAGGAGAGGGCAAGUCUGGUGUCAGCCGCCGCGGUAAUACCAGCUCUCCGAGUGGUAGGGAUGAUUAUUGGGCUUAAAGCGUCCGUAGCCGGCUUAGCAAGUCUCCUGUUAAAUUCAGCGACCUAAUCGUUGAGCCGCGGGAGAUACUACUAGGCUAGGAGGCGGGAGAGGUCGACGGUAUUCUCGGGGUAGGGGUGAAAUCCUAUAAUCCCGGGAGGACCACCAGUGGCGAAGGCUGUCGGCUAGCACGCGCUCGACGGUGAGGGACGAAAGCUGGGGGAGCAAACCGGAUUAGAUACCCGGGUAGUCCCAGCUGUAAACGAUGCGGGCUAGGUGUUGGGGUGGCUACGAGCCACUUCAGUGCCGCAGGGAAGCCGUUAAGCCCGCCGCCUGGGGAGUACGGCCGCAAGGCUGAAACUUAAAGGAAUUGGCGGGGGAGCACCACAA